Non-coding RNA from Misgurnus anguillicaudatus (oriental weatherfish), 2421 nucleotides. Lineage: Eukaryota; Metazoa; Chordata; Actinopteri; Cypriniformes; Cobitidae. The record is from RefSeq and is a predicted model, not a curated record.
UGAGUUUGUUUGUUACCUUGGCACCCUUCUCUCCCUGUCUUCCUUCAGGUCCAGCAGGUCCAGGAGGUCCCUGAGCGGGGGAAAUAAGAAAAAGACUAAGACUAACAUCUAUAUGGUUCUGUCUAUCGAAAUAUUAUAUAGAUUUAAUCACUAACUCUCUUUCCUGGAGGACCGGUGGGCCCAGUUUCACCAGUUGGUCCAGGGGAACCCUAUAACAAACAAACACAUUUGACACAGUCAUAUAUGUGCAGCCAAAAGCUGAGAUGCUGACUGAUAUAGAUGCAUACUCACUGGCUGACCAGCUUCUCCAUCAUCUCCCUUAUCUCCAGCAGCCCCAUCCAAACCCUGUGAGAGGAAGAUAGUGUAAGUGAUGUCACUACCUACAGCAAACGCUUACUUAAUGCCCAGUCAAGCAUUAUCUACAUUCAUAACAAGACUUACAGGUGGCCCAGGCUCUCCAGGAGGACCAGGAUCACCAGGGAAUCCACUCGGACCCUGAAAAAAAACAGAUGCAUUAUUUAAGACGCAUUAUUAAGCAUCAGAGUCUAUAUAGAUGUGGUGAAACGUACAGGACUUCCUUUAGGACCAUCAUCUCCGGGUGGUCCUUUUGGACCAGGAGGACCAGCGGAACCAGCAGGUCCAGAUUCUCCCUUCUCUCCUCUUUCUCCUCUUGGACCCUAACGUACACAGACACAUGCAGAUAAGCAUUUUCUCUAUGUCCAGCAGACUUAAAUUACUCAAUAACUUAUUGUAAGUCAAAUGUGUUUUGUGUCAUACCAGAGGGCCAACAUCUCCUUGUUGACCCGGUUCUCCUGGUUCUCCAGAAUCACCCUACAGAAAAGAGAAAAAGAUGGUGAAUGAUGUGGCUGUAAACUAAGAAGAGCAGUUCAGCAUCAUUAUUCACUGUCACGUCAGCAAAACUGCCACGCUUUCUGAAAAUCUCGUACUGAAUGACAAACGGCACCACAUCAAUAUUUCAACAUACUGCAAUCUAGUGGACACAUGACAAUCACCAGUCAGCAAUCACAACAUCGAAUGCACCCUGAUGCCUUCAAAUCAGUUAUGCUUUUAUCCAAAAUGAAUCAUGGUGUAUUCAAGACAAAUAUGUUUGAUCAUACCAUCUGACCGACAUCACCGGUCUCUCCUUUCUCACCAGGUGGUCCAGACCCUGUUGACCUCUGGGACCUGGCUCUCCAUCUGCACCCUGUAAAAAGGAAGUGACAUCACUAACACUGCUUUCAUCACAGGAAGACAAUGGGCCUGGUAAACCUCUCUCGCCUGGGAAUCCUCGUAGCCCUGGAGGUCCAUCUUUACCUGUGGGACCUGCUGGACCUGGAUCUCCCUGUGAUUAUACAAAAUUGGUCCGGGUAGACCCUGUUCACCGGGUGGUCCUGGGGGUCCAGGGUGACCUCGUUCUCCCAUUGGUCCUGUUUCACCUGUUGGUCCCUGCAUAAAGAAAGAAAGAUGGAUUAGAAAUAUCAGAUACCAGAUGGUGUCAACUGAUUCGAUUAUUAUGACACCUUAAGAUCAUCUAAUGAACGAGCGAUGACUGCUGACGGAUUCAUGAAUAUGGAUGAUGUAUCUUUGGCCUCUGUCUGUGGUACUGAGAAAGGAAAAAAGAGAGAGAUUAAUUCACAAGUCCAUCAAAGCAAGAAGAGAGAGAGAGAAAAGAAAAGAAAAGUGCUGUUGAAGCAGUGCAUGCUGGGUCACGGUUAAAUGGAAAGCUGACACCAGAUGGCAUUAUGGGUCCUGGAUGACCAUCCAUUCCAGUCACACCCUGGAGAUAAACAGCAAUAAAUCAAAAUAAACAGGAAUUAAUUUGAUUGAGAUUUUGAUGAACAAAAAGGCAAUUCAUUAAGCAGGAGAUCCUGGGGGACCCUGGGGACCUUUGGGGCCCAGCAAACCACGAGGACCCUGAAUAAGAGAGAGAGAGAGAGAUGUGACUUUCCUAUAUUUACUAACCUUAAUAGAGUUUAUAAUGUUAUUAUAUUAAUAAUUUGUUCAUAAUAUUAAUUAUGUUUUAUUAGUGUAAAAAAUGCAUUAAUUAUUUCUUUUUUUUUUCGCUGGUUAACUCAACUACAGGUGUGAAUCUAGCACCUGUUCAAUCCAAAUAUUUUUUCAUAAUAUAUGCAUAAUCUGUGAAAAAGGUGAAAAUGCAUCUUUAAACAGGAGAAGUGUUUCUAUUUUUGCACAAUGUAUUUAAUCCAAAUGCAGAUAUGGAGAGCCGCCUGCUGGACAGUAUGUCAAACUGCAAGAUAUUUAUAAGUGAAUAAUAGACAGAUCAUCUAAGGUUUUGUCUCUAUAAUAGUUUAUGCUUCUCUCAACCCCAUCAUACAUCUCAUACGGUCUCUCUGACUUGUUUGAAAUAUGCAUUAUACAUUAAAUGUGUGUGUAAUGUGUUUAAUAAUUAUAUAUAUAUUU